Diuraphis noxia (Russian wheat aphid) is the source of this 2030-nucleotide unclassified non-coding RNA. The record is from RefSeq and is a predicted model, not a curated record. NCBI's taxonomy places the organism in Eukaryota, Metazoa, Arthropoda, Insecta, Hemiptera, Aphididae.
GGUAGGUAGAAUAUUUAAUCUUUCUAAUUUUUUUAUGAAUUAUUGAAGCAAUUGAACAUUGAAGCAUAUUAUAUAGAAUAGAUGUUGGAUUGUACGUCGUGUUUUCAACGUUUUYGUGUGAUCUACCCUAUUCCGGACUCCACUACCCGUGUAUUAAUUUUUAAUGAUCUUGUACGUGCGUCGUGCUUUUUAAUUUUACUGUCACAUCUGUAUCAAACUAUUAGGUAACAAUUAUUGGCCUGUGUCGCUGUCUUAAGUUGUGUGUUCAAACCCGCUGUUAAUAUCCGACUUUCAUUGUCAUAAAAAUCAAUUAGGUCGAYCAAUCAAAGUAAUAUAACAUCAUAGCAACCAUUAAUCUUGAAUAUCUCCACACAGUGCGUCAGAGAUUAGCAUUUUGUAAGAGAAGGAACAGUAUUCCUUUUGAAAUUCCCAAUAGGAUCGUCGUUAUUUUGACGACAUGUCUGUCAAAUAUGUAUUGGUGUCUGACGAAGAAUAUGGUGAAGCGGUYGAACUGCCGCUUGAAGACAAUGGUACAUUACUGCUAUCUACAUUAACGGCCCAGUUUCCUGGGGCUAGUGGUCUUAAGUUUCGCACGGAAAACAACGUUGUCAGAGGUGUUAGGUUGGCCGACUUCCGAUUCCAUGUGCCUGACAAYGAAUGGGGAAAAACGCCUUACUACUGUGUUUUCCCCAAAGUUGAAAAUAAGAGAAAGAUUGAUGAUAGUGUAGAAAAUCCAACAGCUAAAACAAAAAGAUUAGAGACAAAAUUGAAAUGUUCAGAUUUAGUUGUCCUUAAUAUACCAUACACUUAUGAUGAACAAAAAUUGAAAGAAUACUUUGGUCAAUUUGGAGAACUACUUAUGUUACAGAUAAAAAGAGAUAAAAAUGGACAAUCUCGAGGGUAUGGAUUUUUAAGAUAUACUAACUUAGAAUCACAAGUAAGAGUUCUUUCUCAGCGUCACAAGAUUGAUGGUCGUAAUUGUGAAGUUAAGGUUCCAAAGUCUAAGGAAGGUAAUGGUUCAGAGCUUUCUGGAAAAGUAUUUGUGGGUCGUGUGACAGAAGAUUUAACAGCUGAUGACAUUCGUGAGUAUUUCAGCAAAUUUGGAGAAGUCAUCAAUGUGUUUGUACCCAAAAAUCCAUUCCGUGGAUUUGCAUUUGUAACUUUCCUUGAUCCUGAGGUAGCUGCUAGUUUAUGUGGUGAAGAUCAUAUUGUUAAGGACGUUUCAGUGCGUGUUUCCGAAGCCGCCCCAAAACCACAAGCUCCUAAAAAUCGUCAUCAAACUCCUCCACCUAGUGAACCCUGGGAGCGUUCUAAUAAUCGCCAUAAUGACAAUUAUCGAAAUUGGUAUCACUCACAACAUGAUAAUCGGGGGAGUGUAGACAUGCCUAAUCUACAGUCAUUGGGUAUUAAUGGUCAAGACACCUAUAAUCCAAUGUUGCCUUUGAGUCCGGCUAUUGUUGCUGCUGCAUUAACGCAAGCCGCAGGAUGGAGUCUAGCUAAUGGUCGUAUGAUGCCACCACCACCGCCUCCUAGUGGAAACAAUCAAUGGUCUCAACAUGGUCUCAACUCUCAACGAAAUAACUAUAAUAACAGGAAACGUUCUAAUAAUGAUUACAAUUCAUCAGGCAAUCGCUAAAAAAGAUAAUGCAUCAUUUGAGAAAUUUUACCAAAAACAAAUGCUUGUUCAUUAAAAAUUGAAAGUGCAUUGAAGAAGUUGAGUCUCAGCCAAGAAAUGCCUUUGAAUUAAAAGAAUAGUCAUUGUUAUCAAAAAUCCAUGUCAAUAACAUUUUCUGAAAGGAUGUAGGUUCAAAAGCAACAACAUUUCAUCCCUAACAAAAGAUAGGUUGAAAGUAUUAGCAGACCGAUUUAUUUUUAUGGAUUAUGGACAUACAGAGUGGAUAAUUAUGUAUGAUACAGAAACAGUACAUUACUAGAAUGAAUAAAAAGGUUUAGAAAGGCAACAAUGAAAUUUAACUGUACUAGUAAUUUUUUUGUUUCUGUUUUGUGAGAGACAUUUUAAAUACAUAAGU